UGCAUAUCUAAUGCUAUUAAUAGGUCUGCCGUUAGAUUCUACUCUGAUCGUUGUUUCUUCGACUGAUUUAGGUUUUAAUCUUCUUUGGAAUAUUUUCUAUUGCAAGUUGUAUACCCUUUGACGACAUUUCAAAAUCUUCUCCAAACUUGGCAGGCAGAAAAUCGUGUUACCCUAAGUGCAAAAGACGCUAUGGUGCUUUCCCAAAUGAAGAUUUUGGACCUAACUACAGAAAUUAUUAUAAAAAAAUGCCUAAAUUAUUUUAAAUUCGAUAUUUAAUGAAUUAGAAUUAGCAUAUUAAUUUAUAUAUUAUGUAUAAUUUUAUCGAUAAAGUGUAAGAUGUUUAGAAUUUGUUAUCUUUAAAAUUUAAAUAAAGACGCCAAAUUAUACAGGGUGUCCAAAAACUCUACCGACAAAUGAAAACAGAAGAUUCUUCAGAUAAUUUUAAGACAGUUUAAGCCAAUUCACUUCCGAAAAGUCCGAAAAUGCCUCCGAAAAGUCCGUUUCACUAAGUCCGAAAAUGCUUCCUAAGGGUGCUAGAGCUCUUUGAAGAUGGCGUCUUGUAAUCAGUUUUUCUUACAUACCUCCAGAACGCUUCUAUUUAGAAAAACAGAAAUUGGCACGCGUAUUUACCUUCUAGAGAUAAAUCUAUUCCAUCUAUUGCGAAUUUUUAGUACCGAUCAUAUGCGUCCGUUUUGGGUAGGGCAACGGUUAUUUUAUCGCAUAACUUUUUUGUCUUUAAUUUUUAAGGAUUUUUGACUCUGUAUUAUUAAAUUGUGAGGUAUUCUAGUACUAAAAGGUGCUCUUUCUUUAAGUCGAUAGGAUACACCGUUUUCGAGAAAAACCAAUCUGAAAAUUUUUCGUUCUUUGAAUUUCAAAAAAAAUUUUCAAAAAAAAUCUAUUUAGAAAGACGAAAUCUGGUACAUUUAUUUAUAUUCCAGAGAUAAAUCGAUUUCAUUAAUUGCGAAUUUUUAGUACCGGUCAUGGGCGCCCGUUUUGGGUAGGUCAACAGUUAUUUUAUAGCAUAACUUUUUUGUCUUGAAUUUUUAAACAUCUUUGAUACUAGAUUAUUAGAUUAUGAGGUAUUCAAGUACUAAAAGUUACUCUUGCUUUAAGUUAGUAAAAUACAUCGUUUUUUUUUUUUAAAUUUUUCAUUUUUUUUCAAAUUCCACAAAAUGAAAAACUUUCAAAUCGAUUAUUCUAGAAAACGGUGUCCUACAGACUUAAAGCAAGAGUACCUUUUCGUGCUAGAAUACCUCACAAUUUAAUAAUCCAGUGUCAAAAAUGCUUAAAAGUUAAAGACAAAAAAGGUAUGAAAUAAAAUAACCGUUACCCUACCCAAAACGGACGCCUAUGGCCGGUACUAGAAAUUCACAAUGGAUGGAAUCGAUUCAUUUCUGGAAAGUAAAUAUGCAUACCAAUUUUCGUUUUUCUAAAUAGAAGCGUUCUGGAGGUAUUUAAGAAAAACUAAUUACAUGACGCCAUUUUUAAAGAGCUCUAGCUACCUUAGGAAGCAUUUUCGGACUAGGUGAAUUAGGUUAAAUUGUCUUAAAAUUACCUGAGGAAUUUCCUGUCUUCGUUUGUCGGUAGAGUUUCUGGACACCCUGUAUAAUAAAUGUUUUCCAUAA
Long non-coding RNA from Diabrotica virgifera virgifera (western corn rootworm), 1625 nucleotides. RefSeq lists it as uncharacterized. The transcript is spliced from 2 exons. NCBI's taxonomy places the organism in Eukaryota, Metazoa, Arthropoda, Insecta, Coleoptera, Chrysomelidae. The record is from RefSeq and is a predicted model, not a curated record.